Molecule: non-coding RNA, 311 nt
Organism: Vicia faba (fava bean)
Lineage: Eukaryota; Viridiplantae; Streptophyta; Magnoliopsida; Fabales; Fabaceae
Source: the annotation of a GenBank genome assembly
UGUCAGCAAUUUUGCACGGUGUCUUUGUGGAGCUGGAAAAUUUGAUUAAGCUUUUAAUCGGUUGUUUGUUUAAAGAUAACCGGUUGGAUCUUGUUUUGAAAGUGUUAUUGAAGAUGCUAGAGAAUUCUUGCACUCCAAAUGUUGUUAUUUACAGAGAGAUGGUUGAUGGCCUCUGUAAAGUUGGAAAAACAGAUGAACCUUACAAGCUCAUGCUCAAGAUGGAAGAAAAGGGCUGCAAUCCAAAUGUUAUAACCUAUACUGCAAAGAUUGAUGGCUUUGGGAAAUUAGGAAAAACUGAACAGUUGAUAUAA